This 791-nucleotide ribosomal RNA is filed under the name uncultured bacterium. Its description in RNAcentral is "bacterial SSU rRNA". It matches the Rfam family "Bacterial small subunit ribosomal RNA", at positions 8 to 798 of the family's 1533-position model. The record is from RNAcentral.
AGAGUUUGAUCAUGGCUCAGGAUGAACGCUAGCGGCAGGCUUAACACAUGCAAGUCGAGGGGUAGAGGUUGCUUGCAACCUUGAGACCGGCGCACGGGUGCGUAACGCGUAUGCAACCUACCUUUUACAGAGGGAUAGCCCAGAGAAAUUUGGAUUAAUACCUCAUAGUAUAUAUCUUUCGCAUGUUAGGUAUAUUAAAGUUCCAACGGUAAAAGAUGGGCAUGCGUCCUAUUAGCUAGAUGGUAAGGUAACGGCUUACCAUGGCUACGAUAGGUAGGGGUCCUGAGAGGGAGAUCCCCCACACUGGUACUGAGACACGGACCAGACUCCUACGGGAGGCAGCAGUGAGGAAUAUUGGACAAUGGGCGCAAGCCUGAUCCAGCCAUGCCGCGUGCAGGAAGAAGCAUCUAUGGUGUGUAAACUGCUUUUGUACAGGAAGAAACAUCCCGACGUGUCGGGACUUGACGGUACUGUAAGAAUAAGGAUCGGCUAACUCCGUGCCAGCAGCCGCGGUAAUACGGAGGAUCCAAGCGUUAUCCGGAAUCAUUGGGUUUAAAGGGUCCGUAGGCGGUUUGGUAAGUCAGUGGUGAAAGCCCGCAGCUCAACUGUGGAACGGCCAUUGAUACUGCCAGACUUGAAUUACAAGGAAGUAACUAGAAUAUGUAGUGUAGCGGUGAAAUGCUUAGAUAUUACAUGGAAUACCAAUUGCGAAGGCAGGUUACUACUUGUGGAUUGACGCUGAUGGACGAAAGCGUGGGGAGCGAACAGGAUUAGAUACCCCGGUAGUCCAA